This 468-nucleotide ribosomal RNA is filed under the name uncultured bacterium. RNAcentral describes it as "partial 16S ribosomal RNA". It matches the Rfam family "Bacterial small subunit ribosomal RNA", at positions 28 to 507 of the family's 1533-position model. The record is from RNAcentral.
GACGAACGCUGGCGGCGUGCUUAACACAUGCAAGUCGAACGGAAAGGCCCUGCUUUUGUGGGGUGCUCGAGUGGCGAACGGGUGAGUAACACGUGAGUAACCUGCCCUUGACUUUGGGAUAACUUCAGGAAACUGGGGCUAAUACCGGAUAGGAGCUCCUGCUGCGUGGUGGGGGUUGGAAAGAUUCGGCGGUUGGGGAUGGACUCGAGGCUUAUCAGCUUGUUGGUGGGGUAGUGGCGUACCAAGGCUUUGACGGGUAGGCGGCCUGAGAGGGUGACCGGCCACAUUGGGACUGAGGUACGGCCCAGAAUCCUACGGGAGGCAGCGGUGGGGAAUAUUGCACAAUGGGCGGAAGCCUGAUGCGACAACGCCGCGUGCGUGAUGACGGCCUUCGGGUUGUAAACCGCUUUCGCCUGUGACGAAGCGUGAGUGACGGUAAUGGGUAAAGAAGCACCGGCUAACUACGUG